GCGGCCUAUCAGCUUGUUGGUGAGGUAAUGGCUUACCAAGGCGUCGACGGGUAGCUGGUCUGAGAGGAUGAUCAGCCACACUGGGACUGAGACACGGCCCAGACUCCUACGGGAGGCAGCAGUGGGGAAUCUUGCACAAUGGGCGAAAGCCUGAUGCAGCAACGCCGCGUGCGGGAUGAAGGCCUUCGGGUUGUAAACCGCUUUCAGUAGGGAAGAAAAUGACGGUACCUACAGAAGAAGGUGCGGCCAACUACGUGCCAGCAGCCGCGGUGACACGUAGGCACCGAGCGUUAUCCGGAUUUAUUGGGCGUAAAGAGCUCGUAGGCGGUUCGGUAAGUCGGGUGUGAAAGCUCUGGGCUCAACCCAGAGAGGCCACCCGAUACUGCUGUGACUUGAGUGCGGUAGGGGAGCGGGGAAUUCCUGGUGUAGCGGUGAAAUGCGCAGAUAUCAGGAGGAACACCAGUGGCGAAGGCGCCGCUCUGGGCCGUAACUGACGCUGAGGAGCGAGAGCAUGGGUAGCAAACAGGAUUAGAUACCCUGGUAGUCCAUGCCGUAAACGUUGGGCACUAGGUGUGGGUUUCAACCAACGAGAUCCGCGCCGUCGCUAACGCAUUAAGUGCCCCGCCUGGGGAGUACGG
This 638-nucleotide ribosomal RNA is filed under the name uncultured actinomycete. RNAcentral describes it as "bacterial SSU rRNA". It matches the Rfam family "Bacterial small subunit ribosomal RNA", at positions 233 to 885 of the family's 1533-position model. Lineage: Bacteria; Bacillati; Actinomycetota; Actinomycetes; Actinomycetales. The record is from RNAcentral.